CCUACGGGAGGCAGCAGUGAGGAAUAUUGGUCAAUGGACGAGAGUCUGAACCAGCCAAGUAGCGUGAAGGAUGACUGCCCUAUGGGUUGUAAACUUCUUUUAUAUGGGAAUAAAAUGUUCCACGUGUGGGAUUUUGUAUGUACCAUAUGAAUAAGGAUCGGCUAACUCCGUGCCAGCAGCCGCGGUAAUACGGAGGAUCCGAGCGUUAUCCGGAUUUAUUGGGUUUAAAGGGAGCGUAGGUGGAUUGUUAAGUCAGUUGUGAAAGUUUGCGGCUCAACCGUAAAAUUGCAGUUGAAACUGGCAGUCGUGAGUACAGUAGAGGUGGGCGGAAUUCGUGGUGUAGCGGUGAAAUGCUUAGAUAUCACGAAGAACUCCGAGUGCGAAGGCAGCUCACUGGACUGCAACUGACACUGAGGCUCGAAAGUGUGGGUAUCAAACAGGAUUAGAUACCCCAGUAGUC
Molecule: ribosomal RNA, 460 nt
Filed under: uncultured bacterium
Lineage: Bacteria
Description: partial 16S ribosomal RNA
Rfam family: Bacterial small subunit ribosomal RNA
Source: RNAcentral